Molecule: transfer RNA, 68 nt
Filed under: Turricula nelliae spuria
Lineage: Eukaryota; Metazoa; Mollusca; Gastropoda; Neogastropoda; Clavatulidae
Description: Turricula nelliae spurius tRNA-Pro
Source: RNAcentral
CAGAAUUGUAGUUUAAUAAAAAUAUUAGCAUUGGAAGCUAAAGAAUGGGUUUUACUCCCACAUUCUGA